Molecule: ribosomal RNA, 427 nt
Filed under: uncultured bacterium
Lineage: Bacteria
Description: partial 16S ribosomal RNA
Rfam family: Bacterial small subunit ribosomal RNA
Source: RNAcentral
UGGGGAAUAUUGCACAAUGGGCGCAAGCCUGAUGCAGCCAUGCCGCGUGUAUGAAGAAGGCCUUCGGGUUGUAAAGUACUUUCAGCGAGGAGGAAGGCGUUGUGGUUAAUAACCGCAGCGAUUGACGUUACUCGCAGAAGAAGCACCGGCUAACUCCGUGCCAGCAGCCGCGGUAAUACGGAGGGUGCAAGCGUUAAUCGGAAUUACUGGGUGUAAAGCGCACGCAGGCGGUCUGUCAAGUCGGAUGUGAAAUCCCCGGGCUCAACCUGGGAACUGCAUCCGAAACUGGCAGGCUAGAGUCUUGUAGAGGGGGGUAGAAUUCCAGGUGUAGCGGUGAAAUGCGUAGAGAUCUGGAGGAAUACCGGUGGCGAAGGCGUCCCCCUGGACAAAGACUGACGCUCAGGUGCGAAAGCGUGGGGAGCAAACA